CAAAUAUUUCUGCUUUAGAAUGGAACUAUCAGUUUGGGGAAGAGUGAGAAAUAUAGAAAAGAAAGAAUUACAGAUGGGGAGAUCUAGUUGGGAAAAUAUUAUUAAUCACUUUGGUUAGGUCAGUGUCAGUGAAGACAAAGGAGGGGAUUAAAAAUGACUGGGGAUUGGUAACAGGAAAGGACUGCCAAAGAUUGAUUUUAAGUACCACGUCUAACAUUUGUAAGGCUGAAAGAAAGUGUUUCUGACAAAUGCAAACUAAAGCAGGGUUAUAUUUUAUGAAAAUAUGCCAUGGAGAGGAGUAGGAGUAUGAAGGAAGGAAGAAGAACAGGAGAAAAAUGCAGGCAAUAUGUUGGAGUGGUGGCAGUAAACAAUAGGGGCUUAGAUGAGAAUUACUGAAGGAGUGAACUGCUGGAUGUAUUUGAUAGAAUCAUAGAAUCAUGGAAUGGUUUGGGUUGAAAGGGGUAUUAAAGGUGUUCCAGUUCCAGACUCUCUGCCGUGGGCUGGAACACCUUCCAGUAGAUCAGGUUGCCUGAAGUCCCAUCCAACCUGGCCUUGAAGGCCUUUUAUCUGAUGAGUGAUAUCUGACAUCAUCAAUAAUCUGUGAAGUUUUGUGCAAAGAGCCAAGUGGACAUCAGGGCAUGAGAAAUGACCUGCCCCAGGAAUGUGUGUUCUGAUUCACAUGAACGAAUCUCAAUAAGCUUCACCAAGAGAGGGAGUAAUCCUUUUCUUGGACUUUCUGCUACACCGAGUGCUUGUUUGAAGGAAGGCUGGGGCAUGCUGGGAAGCACAACGUCGGUGAUGCCUGUGAUACAAUAUUGGGCCAAGCAGCAAAGAUAUUAAACUCUAUUGUACUCAUCGGAGGAGUCAAGCAUGCUUUCAUCCUUGCCACGUAGAGCUGGACUUUUUUUUCUUCUUGUUUUCCCAGCAAAAAUAGCUUUUUAAUCAGUCCAAAAUCUCCAAGGAAAGGGGAAAACAAACAAACAAACAAACAAAACCAGCACACAAAGCUCUUUCCUAUUUCCUCCUUGAUGCUUUUCCACAAGGCUGCUACCUGAGGACCAAAGGAGCAAGUGCUCUUUCACUCUCGUUGUCAAACCAAACCUGCACACAUAAAUACAUGCUACAGGGACACACAGCACCUGCUGCCCCCGGCACUGCUGUUAUUUAAAUUGUAGUGUUA
RNAcentral lists this long non-coding RNA (1180 nucleotides) under Numida meleagris (helmeted guineafowl). Its description in RNAcentral is "lncRNA (ENSNMEG00000008592.1)". Lineage: Eukaryota; Metazoa; Chordata; Aves; Galliformes; Numididae. The record is from RNAcentral.